Molecule: transfer RNA, 75 nt
Filed under: candidate division BRC1 bacterium HGW-BRC1-1
Lineage: Bacteria; Candidatus Sumerlaeota
Description: tRNA-Gln
Rfam family: tRNA
About the family: Transfer RNA (tRNA) molecules are approximately 80 nucleotides in length. Their secondary structure includes four short double-helical elements and three loops (D, anti-codon, and T loops).
Source: RNAcentral
UGGGGAGUCGCCAAGUGGUAAGGCACGGGUCUUUGGUUCCCGCAUGCGAAGGUUCGAUCCCUUCCUCCCCAGCCA